CGUACCCGUACCGUAAACCGACACAGGUGGAUGAGGAGAGAAUCCUAAGGCCGGCGGGAGAAGCAUUGUUAAGGAACUCGGCAAAAUGACCCCGUAACUUCGGGAGAAGGGGUGCUCACGCAAGUGAGCCGCAGAGAACUGGCCCAAGCAACUGUUUAGCAAAAACACAGGUCUAUGCAAAACCGAAAGGUGAGGUAUAUGGGCUGACGCCUGCCCGGUGCUGGAAGGUUAAGAGGAGAUGUUAGAGCAAUCGAAGCAUUGAAUUUAAGCCCCAGUAAACGGCGGCCGUAACUAUAACGGUCCUAAGGUAGCGAAAUUCCUUGUCGGGUAAGUUCCGACCCGCACGAAAGGCGUAAUGAUUUGGGCACUGUCUCGACAAUGCACCCGGUGAAAUUGAAAUACCAGUGAAGAUGCUGGUUACCUGCGCCAGGACGGAAAGACCCCAUGGAGCUUUACUCUAGCUUGAUACUGGGAUUCGGUAUUGCAUGUACAGGAUAGGUGGGAGACUAAGAGGUGAUGACGCCAGUUGUCACGGAGUCGAUGUUGGGAUACCACCCCUGCAGUACUGGGUUUCUAACCUGCGGCCGUGACCCGGCCGGGGGACAAUGUCUGGUGGGGAGUUUGACUGGGGCGGUCGCCUCCGAAAGGGUAUCGGAGGCGCUCAAAGGUUCCCUCAGAAUGGUUGGAAACCAUUCGAAGAGUGCAAAGGCAGAAGGGAGCUUGACUGCGACACCGACGGGUGGAGCAGGUACGAAAGUAGGACUUAGUGAUCCGGUGGUAUGAAAGUGGGAUUGCCAUCGCUCAACGGAUAAAAGCUACCCUGGGGAUAACAGGCUUAUCACUCCCAAGAGUUCACAUCGACGGAGUGGUUUGGCACCUCGAUGUCGGCUCAUCGCAUCCUGGGGCUGUAGUAGGUCCCAAGGGUUGGGCUGUUCGCCCAUUAAAGCGGUACGCGAGCUGGGUUCAGAACGUCGUGAGACAGUUCGGUCCCUAUCCGGCGUGGGCGCAGGAUAUCUGAGAGGAGCUGUCCUUAGUACGAGAGGACCGGGAUGGACUGACCUCUGGUGCA
Molecule: ribosomal RNA, 1069 nt
Filed under: [Lactobacillus] rogosae
Lineage: Bacteria; Bacillati; Bacillota; Clostridia; Lachnospirales; Lachnospiraceae
Description: bacterial LSU rRNA
Rfam family: Bacterial large subunit ribosomal RNA
Source: RNAcentral